UACGGGGGGGGGGCAAGCGUUGUUCGGAAUUACUGGGCGUAAAGGGCUCGUAGGUGGCCAACUAAGUCAGACGUGAAAUCGCUCGGCUCAACUGGGCGGGGUCAGCGGAUACGGCGUGGCUGGAGCAAGCUAGGGGGGCAAUGGAAUUCCUGGUGUAGCGGUGGAAUGCGCAGAUAUCAGGAGGAACACCAAUAGCGAAGGCAGCUCGCUGGGACGGUACUGACGCUGAUGCGCGAAAAGCUAGGGGGAGCGAACGGG
This 258-nucleotide ribosomal RNA is filed under the name uncultured bacterium. RNAcentral's name for it is "partial 16S ribosomal RNA". It matches the Rfam family "Bacterial small subunit ribosomal RNA", at positions 522 to 776 of the family's 1533-position model. The record is from RNAcentral.